CAAUAGCGUAUAUUAAAGUUGUUGCGGUAAAAAAGCUCGUAGUUGGAUUUCUGUUGAGAGCGACCGGUCCAUACCAUGUAUGCGUAUCUGGCUUGCUCUCGGCAUCCUCUCGAUAGACGUUACUGCGCUUGAUUGCGUGGUGCGGAUCUCGGGACUUUUACUUUGAGGAAAUUAGAGUGUUCACGGCAGGCUUUCGCCAGAAUACAUUAGCAUGGAGUAAUACUAUAGGAUCUUGGUUCUAUUUUGUUGGUUUCUAGAAUUGAGAUAAUGAUUAAUAGGGACAAUUGGGGGCAUUCGUAUCAACACGUCAGAGGUGGAAUUCUUGGAUUGUGUUGCGACGAACUACUGCGAAAGCAUUUGCCAAGGAUGUUUUCAUUGA
Molecule: ribosomal RNA, 379 nt
Filed under: uncultured eukaryote
Lineage: Eukaryota
Description: partial 18S ribosomal RNA
Rfam family: Eukaryotic small subunit ribosomal RNA
Source: RNAcentral